GAUGAACGCUGGCGGCGUGCCUAAUACAUGCAAGUCGAGCCAACAGAUAAGGAGCUUGCUCCUUUGACGUUAGCGGCGGACGGGUGAGUAACACGUGGGUAACCUACCUAUAAGACUGGAAUAACUCCGGGAAACCGGGGCUAAUGCCGGAUAACAUUUAGAACCGCAUGGUUCUAAAGUGAAAGAUGGUUUUGCUAUCACUUAUAGAUGGACCCGCGCCGUAUUAGCUAGUUGGUAAGGUAACGGCUUACCAAGGCAACGAUACGUGGCCGACCUGAGAGGGUGAUCGGCCACACUGGAACUGAGACACGGUCCAGACUCCUACGGGAGGCAGCAGUAGGGAAUCUUCCGCAAUGGGCGAAAGCCUGACGGAGCAACGCCGCGUGAGUGAUGAAGGUCUUCGGAUCGUAAAACUCUGUUAUUAGGGAAGAACAAAUGUGUAAGUAACUGUGCACGUCUUGACGGUACCUAAUCAGAAAGCCACGGCUAACUACGUG
This 497-nucleotide ribosomal RNA is filed under the name uncultured bacterium. RNAcentral describes it as "partial 16S ribosomal RNA". It matches the Rfam family "Bacterial small subunit ribosomal RNA", at positions 28 to 507 of the family's 1533-position model. The record is from RNAcentral.